GACGUAGGGCGCGAGCGUUGUCCGGAUUUAUUGGGCGUAAAGAGCUCGUAGGCGGCUCAUUGCGUCAACCGCGAAAUCCUGCUGCUCAACGGCAGGUCUGCGGUUGAUACGGGUGGGCUGGAGUUCGGUAGGGGAGACUGGAAUUCCUGGUGUAGCGGUGAAAUGCGUAGAUAUCAGGAGGAACACCUGCGGUGUAGACGGCUUACUGGACCAUAACUGACGCUGAGGCACGAAAGCGUGGGGAGCGAACAGG
This 253-nucleotide ribosomal RNA is filed under the name uncultured bacterium. Its description in RNAcentral is "partial 16S ribosomal RNA". It matches the Rfam family "Bacterial small subunit ribosomal RNA", at positions 524 to 776 of the family's 1533-position model. The record is from RNAcentral.